UUGUGCUUUGAUAUGGGUUCAAGAAAGUGCAGUCUUUGCAUGCCCAUUUAGGUUUUGCCGGUGAUGAUGAUUGCGGUGGUUGUGCAGAUAGGCAGAUUUGGCAGGAUGAUUUUUGAAAAGGUGGAUUGAUGAAAGUGCACUUUGAGCGUGUCCACGACAUUGUGAUCAGACGAGGGGUUUUCCUGGGGGGAUUAACUGUAGCAGAAUUGUUCCUUGGGAGAUGAAAAAAUAGAACAUAUAAAUAAAAAAACGUAUUUCAGCUCCAGGAAAGGCAUAGUUUAGUGCUACAUUUAAUGUUUAGAACUGCAACAUAUUGUUCCACUUAUGCUACUGUCAAAGUUCAAGGAAAUAAGUUUUCCAAGGAUGUAUCUUACACAUUUGAAACUCCAAAAUUAAAAUAUCAAGCGUUCUGUGAUUCAUACAACAGAGAAAUGCAAGGUAGCACUAAUUCAACACCUAUCUACAUUGUAAAAUACAAGUAACAGAAAUAGAAUACAUCUAUACCAAAACCAACUGGAAAGCACCAGCAGAAGAUUUAUAUUUGCUAAGAAAAUUGGGGUUCAGAAUACAUCUGCCAUUGUUGAAAUCCUAUUCAAACUCAAGUAAAUAUUUUAAACAAUUAAAAGAAUACAAGUUAAUAGAAGUCUAACUCAGCCACUGAUUUUAUUAAGGUAAGGCAUGCAACUAGGAAUUCAAUUCAGUUGACCUCCCCUUUCUUUGAAGUCCUGUUUAAACUCAGUUAAACAUUUCUAAUAGUUAAGGCAGUACAACUUACUAGGAACCAAACUCAACAACAGAAUUUACUAAGACAACACAAAUUAUACUAUCCGGUUGACUAUCAUUUUGUGUCAUGUGUCAAGAACAAGGAAAAGGAUGGGAGGAAUUCCCAUUUAUUUCCCAGUUAAACAUACAAAAUAAACCCUGAAACCAGAGAAAAUACUGCUAGGUUCAAAUCAAAACUAACAGAAACAAAAUAAGACUUCUCCUUUCCCAUAAUUAACCUCGAAAUUCAACCGGCCCAUCAAAAAUUCAACUGAAACUAACAGUUAAAUGAAAAACCACAGUGAUAUUGCAUUUUUAUUAUAAUCGCAAGUCAUACAUGUCAAAAAAUAAAAAUAUUUUGAAGAAAUUGAAGCAUACCCAGGGAUUCAACUUCAACAGCCUUAUUUCCAGCCUUUACAGCUCUAAACUCAAUAGAAUCACCUGCUCCACCAUCACCACCCAUAUCUGCGUCUUCCCUGUUUUUCCUCUUAUUGCCACAAGGACGCAGAGGCGGAAAAGAACCCUUUAACCCACGAGAAGAACAAGCCGCGCUGCCAUCACCAGUACACACAUUAGGGCUCUCCAUAUUUUCCUUCUUAUUAUUGCUAGGCUGCAAAUCCAACAAACCACCCUUAAACCCUCGAGAAGCAUCAUCCAAAUCACCACCACCGUUCGUCAAAUCUCGAUUUCCUUGAUUUUCCCUUUUCGUAUUAUUACAAGACUUCAAAGGGUAGAAAAUGCUCCCAAUAGAGGAGCCGGAGCCCAAUUGCGCUUCAUGAAUAUCAUCAUCAUCAACUUCAAGAAUGGAGAGUAAAGAUGCAGAAGCCCUAGCUCCACAGAUUUCACAACUUGUGCUUUGAUAUGGGUUCAAGAAAGUGCAGUCUUUGCAUGCCCAUUUAGGUUUUACCGGUGACGAUGAUUGCGAUGGUUGUGCAGAUAGGCAGAUUUGGCAGGAUGAUUGUUGAAACGGUGGAUUGAUGAAAGUGCACUUUGAGCAUGUCCACGACAUUGUGAUCCAACGAGGGGUUUUCCUGGGGGGAUUAACUGUAGCAGAAUUG
This 1820-nucleotide long non-coding RNA is filed under the name Olea europaea (common olive). Its description in RNAcentral is "long non-coding RNA (OEUR_LNC002132)". The record is from RNAcentral. Lineage: Eukaryota; Viridiplantae; Streptophyta; Magnoliopsida; Lamiales; Oleaceae.